RNAcentral lists this ribosomal RNA (497 nucleotides) under uncultured bacterium. Its description in RNAcentral is "partial 16S ribosomal RNA". It matches the Rfam family "Bacterial small subunit ribosomal RNA", at positions 28 to 507 of the family's 1533-position model. The record is from RNAcentral.
GACGAACGCUGGCGGCGUGCCUAAUACAUGCAAGUCGAGCGAACAGACGAGGCGCUUGCGCCUCUGACGUGAGCCGCAGACGGGUGAGUAACGCGUGGAUAACCUACCUAUAAGACGGGGAUAACUACGGGAAACCGGAGCUAAUACCGGAUAAUAUAUUGAACCGCGGUGGUCAAUAGAGAGAGUCGGUUUUGCUGUCACUUAUAGCUGCAUCGGAGCCGCAUUAGAUGGUUGGUACGGUAACGGCUUACCAAGGCAACGAUGCGUAUCCGACCUGAGAGGGUGAUCGGCCACACGGGAACUGAGACACGGUCCAGACUCCUACGGUAGGCAGCAGUAGGGAAUCGGCCGCAACGGGGGAAAGCCUGACGGAGCAACGGCGCGUGAGUGAUGAAGGUCUUCGGAGCGUAAAACUCUGUUACGAGUGAAGAACAAAUGUGGACGUAACUGUGGACGGCUUGACGGUAAUUAGUAAGAAAGCCACGGCUAACUACGUG